RNAcentral lists this ribosomal RNA (479 nucleotides) under uncultured bacterium. RNAcentral's name for it is "partial 16S ribosomal RNA". It matches the Rfam family "Bacterial small subunit ribosomal RNA", at positions 28 to 507 of the family's 1533-position model. The record is from RNAcentral.
GAUGAACGCUAGCGGGAGGCCUAACACAUGCAAGCCGAGCGGUAGAGUUUCUUCGGAAUCUUGAGAGCGGCGUACGGGUGCGGAACACGUGUGCAACCUGCCUUUAUCAGUGGGAUAGCCUUUCGAAAGGAAGAUUAAUACCCCAUAAUAUAUUUGAUGGCAUCCUUAGAUAUUGAAAGCUUUGGCGGAUAGAGAUGGGCACGCGCAAGAUUAGAUAGUUGGUGAGGUAACGGCUCACCAAGUCGAUGAUCUUUAGGGGGCCUGAGAGGGUGAUCCCCCACACUGGUACUGAGACACGGACCAGAAUCCUACGGGAGGCAGCAGUGAGGAAUAUUGGACAAUGGGUUAGCGCCUGAUCCAGCCAUCCCGCGUGAAGGACGACGGCCCUAUGGGUUGUAAACUUCUUUUGUACAGGGAUAAACCUACUCUCGUGAGAGUAGCUGAAGGUACUGUACGAAUAAGCACCGGCUAACUCCGUG